UACGUAGGGUGCAAGCGUUGUCCGGAAUUAUUGGGCGUAAAGAGCUCGUAGGCGGUUUGUUGCGUCGGCUGUGAAAUCCCGAGGCUCAACUUCGGGUCUGCAGUCGAUACGAGCAAACUAGAGUGUUGCAGGGGAGACUGGAAUUCCUGGUGUAGCGGUGAAAUGCGCAGAUAUCAGGAGGAACACCGGUGGCGAAGGCGGGUCUCUGGGCAGCAACUGACGCUGAGGAGCGAAAGCGUGGGGAGCGAACAGG
RNAcentral lists this ribosomal RNA (253 nucleotides) under uncultured bacterium. Its description in RNAcentral is "partial 16S ribosomal RNA". It matches the Rfam family "Bacterial small subunit ribosomal RNA", at positions 524 to 776 of the family's 1533-position model. The record is from RNAcentral.